This is a non-coding RNA of Spinacia oleracea (spinach), 147 nucleotides long. The record is from Rfam. NCBI's taxonomy places the organism in Eukaryota, Viridiplantae, Streptophyta, Magnoliopsida, Caryophyllales, Amaranthaceae.
UAAGAUGCGUAAAGAAAUAGCUGAAUUUGUUGUUUUUGGUGAAAAUCAAAAGAACAAAAGGCAGCAGCGGCCAGACAACCGUAGUGAUGGAUCCACAGAUGGGGUUGCUAAUUCUUGCUCCUUGUCUACUAAAUCCUUCUCACAUUU